AGAGUUUGAUCCUGGCUCAGGAUGAACGCUAGCGGCAGGCCUAACACAUGCAAGUCGAGGGGUAACAGGGAGUGCUUGCACUUUGCUGACGACCGGCGCACGGGUGCGUAACGCGUAUACAAUCUACCUUGUACUAGGGAAUAGCCCAGAGAAAUUUGGAUUAAUGCUCUAUAGUCUAUUGUUGUGGCAUCACAUAAAUAGUAAAGGUUACGGUACAAGAUGAGUAUGCGUCCUAUUAGUUAGUUGGUGUGGUAACGGCACACCAAGGCUACGAUAGGUAGGGGCCCUGAGAGGGGGACCCCCCACACUGGUACUGAGACACGGACCAGACUCCUACGGGAGGCAGCAGUGAGGAAUAUUGGACAAUGGAGGCAACUCUGAUCCAGCCAUGCCGCGUGCAGGAAGACUGCCCUAUGGGUUGUAAACUGCUUUUAUACAGGAAGAAACACUCCCUCGUGAAGGGAGUUUGACGGUACUGUAAGAAUAAGGAUCGGCUAACUCCGUGCCAGCAGCCGCGGUAAUACGGAGGAUCCAAGCGUUAUCCGGAAUCAUUGGGUUUAAAGGGUCCGUAGGCGGGCAAUUAAGUCAGGGGUGAAAGUUUGCGGCUCAACCGUAAAAUUGCCUUUGAAACUGGUUGUCUUGAAUUACUGUGAAGUGGUUAGAAUAUGUAGUGUAGCGGUGAAAUGCAUAGAUAUUACAUAGAAUACCAAUUGCGAAGGCAGAUCACUAACAGUAUAUUGACGCUGAUGGACGAAAGCGUGGGGAGCGAACAGGAUUAGAUACCCUGGUAGUCCACGCCGUAAACGAUGGAUACUAGCUGUUCGACAUUUAUGUUGAGUGGCUAAGCG
This 848-nucleotide ribosomal RNA is filed under the name uncultured deep-sea bacterium. Its description in RNAcentral is "bacterial SSU rRNA". It matches the Rfam family "Bacterial small subunit ribosomal RNA", at positions 8 to 853 of the family's 1533-position model. The record is from RNAcentral.